UUUUCCCACAGCUCAGGAGACAGUUCACUUGCGGAAUACGAGGCUUAGAAAUUCAGUCAGUGCGAUGAGAACCUUAUUGCAACCUCGAUAUAAUACAAUAGUUACCCCGUUGGAAAAAAAAGAGACUGCCGGAGCUGACGGACGACCACAAGUGUUACGGUAUACGGGGCUAAGAAAUUCAGUGAGUGCAAGAGACUUUAUUCCACAUCAGUGACAUGAAAUAGUUGCCCCGUUGAAAAAGAGAAAGUAUCGACGAAGGGUACAUAGGAAGGGUUAAAUCACCUCCCGGGUCAUGAACCUACCCCUGUAACGACCUCAAACUCCUACGAACGCCUUGUUAAAUAUGUGUUUCAGGAGGGCAGUUAAUAAGUGGCCGACUCCUGAAAAACACCAAGACAAUUCCGUAAAACCAAUGAAAACGUCUGAUACAUCCCAGCAGUAGUUAUGAUUUGCUGAGAUAUGUUUUUGUACAGUAAAGGAAGUAAAGGGCAAAAUCAAAAUAGAAAGGAAAGAAAACGCGCGAACCGCUGCUCUUAGAAAAUAUAAUGGAGUGGCCAGAAGAAAGGUCAGUUUAGGAAGAGGAGGUGACUUUAUAAUUUAGUGAUAUUACGCUUCACUCUAUUGAUACGAGAUUAUCAUUGAUCGGCUAGUAAAGCAAAACCACACGAGUUAGCAUUGGCUUAACCACUGACCCCUUCUGUUGACGCUUCUCUGUCUGGCCGAGGAUGGCGCAGUCUGUCCCUGGAAUCUCGCCUCGAAGUGACUCAGUGCCGUGCGUGAUGGUGACACCGAGGGACUGAAUAAACAUGACUGAUGGGCGUGACGAGGACGGAGCUGAAGUGAACGCGUACAUAAAAGUUGAUGAAGGCGAUGUCAAUAAGUAAUGUGAAGAAAGAGGUUCGGUUUUGAAAUAAGGAGAGGUUGACAAGGAAUAGAAGAGGAUCGUAGACAAGAUUGACGGUGAGGUUGACAAGGAAUAGAAGAGGAUCGUAGACAAGAUUGACGGUGAGGUUGACAAGGAAUAGAAGAGGAUCGUAGACAAGAUUGACGGUGAGGUUGACAAGGAAUAGAAGAGGAUCGUAGACAAGAUUGACGGUGAGGUUGACAAGGAAUAGAAGAGGAUCGUAGACAAGAUUGACGGUGAGGUUGACAAGGAAUAGAAGAGGAUCGUAGACAAGAUUGACGGUGAGGUUGACAAGGAAUAGAAGAGGAUCGUAGACAAGAUUGACGGUGAGGUUGACAAGGAAUAGAAGAGGAUCGUAGACAAGAUUGACGGUGAGGUUGACAAGGAAUAGAAGAGGAUCGUAGACAAGAUUGACGGUGAGGUUGACAAGGAAUAGAAGAGGAUCGUAGACAAGAUUGACGGUGAGGUUGACAAGGAAUAGAAGAGGAUCGUAGACAAGAUUGACGGUGAGGUUGACAAGGAAUAGAAGAGGAUCGUAGACAAGAUUGACGGUGAGGUUGACAAGGAAUAGAAGAGGAUCGUAGACAAGAUUGACGGUGAGGUUGACAAGGAACAGAAGAGAAUCAGAGACAAGAUUGACACUGAGGUUGGUAAGGAAUUGAAGAGGAUCGGAGACAAAGUUGACAAUGAGGUUGGUAAGGAAUUGAAGAGGAUCGGAGACAAGGUUGACAGUGAGGUUGGUAAGGAAAUGAAGAGGAUAGGAGACAAGGUUGACAGUGAGGUUGGUAAGGAAAUGAAGAGGAUCGGAGACAAGGUUGACAGUGAGGUUGGCAAUAAAUGGAAGAGCAACGGAGAGAAAAACAACAGCAAUAAUAAUAAUAAUAAUAAUAAUAAUAAUAAUAAUAAUAAUAAUAAUAAUAAUGAUAAAAUAAUGGAUACAAAACUGCCGGCGUGAGAUUAGA
Molecule: long non-coding RNA, 1866 nt
Organism: Eriocheir sinensis (Chinese mitten crab)
Lineage: Eukaryota; Metazoa; Arthropoda; Malacostraca; Decapoda; Varunidae
Exons: 3
Source: RefSeq, a predicted model, not a curated record